CCUACGGGUGACAGCAGUGAGGAAUAUUGGUCAAUGGACGAGAGUCUGAACCAGCCAAGCAGCGUGAAGGAUGACUGCCCUAUGGGUUGUAAACUUUUUUUAUAUGGGAAUAAAACGUUCCACGUGUGGGAUUUUGUAUGUACCAUAUGAAUAAGGAUCGGCCAACUCCGUGCCAGCAGCCGAGGUAAUACGGAGGGGCCGAGCGUUAUCCGGAUUUAUUGGGCUUAAAGGGAGCGUAGGCGGAUUGUUAAGUCAGUUGUGAAAGUUUGUGGCUCAACCGUAGAAUUGCAGUUGAAACUGGCAGUCGUGAGUACAGUAGAGGUGGGCGGAAUUCGUGGUGUAGCGGUGAAAUGCGUAGAGAUCACGAAGAACUCCGAUUGCGAAGGCAGUUCACUGGACUGCAACUGACACUGAGGCUCGAAAGUGUGGGUAUCAAACAGGAUUAGAUACCCGGGUAGUC
RNAcentral lists this ribosomal RNA (460 nucleotides) under uncultured bacterium. RNAcentral's name for it is "partial 16S ribosomal RNA". It matches the Rfam family "Bacterial small subunit ribosomal RNA", at positions 338 to 795 of the family's 1533-position model. The record is from RNAcentral.